RNAcentral lists this transfer RNA (72 nucleotides) under Bacillota bacterium. RNAcentral's name for it is "Firmicutes bacterium (hot springs metagenome) tRNA-Glu". It matches the Rfam family "tRNA". From Rfam's summary of the family: Transfer RNA (tRNA) molecules are approximately 80 nucleotides in length. Their secondary structure includes four short double-helical elements and three loops (D, anti-codon, and T loops). The record is from RNAcentral. Lineage: Bacteria; Bacillati; Bacillota. RNAcentral also lists the same sequence under 3 other names.
GCCCCCAUCGUCUAGUGGUUAGGACACGGGGCUUUCAAUCCCGUAGCAGGGGUUCGAUUCCCCUUGGGGGCG